RNAcentral lists this ribosomal RNA (254 nucleotides) under uncultured bacterium. RNAcentral's name for it is "partial 16S ribosomal RNA". It matches the Rfam family "Bacterial small subunit ribosomal RNA", at positions 524 to 776 of the family's 1533-position model. The record is from RNAcentral.
UACGAAGGGGGCUAGCGUUGCUCGGAAUCACUGGGCGUAAAGGGUGCGUAGGCGGCGCGGUAAGUCGGGUGUGAAAUCUCGGAGCUUAACUCCGAAACUGCAUUCGAUACUGCCGUGCUUGAGGACUGGAGAGGAGACUGGAAUUUACGGUGUAGCGGUGAAAUGCGUAGAUAUCGGUAAGGAAGACCAGUGGCGAAGGCGGGUCUCUGGACAGUUCCUGACGCUGAGGCACGAAGGCCAGGGGAGCAAACGGG